Molecule: non-coding RNA, 631 nt
Organism: Pelobates cultripes (western spadefoot toad)
Lineage: Eukaryota; Metazoa; Chordata; Amphibia; Anura; Pelobatidae
Source: the annotation of a GenBank genome assembly
CAGUUUAACAGCACCCAACUGACACUAGUUGCAGCCUACUUUCCAAAUGAGAACCCCAGAAACUUCCUGCAAUCACUCCUGGGUAAGGUGUUCUCCAGAGGGACCACUGACCUAAGCAGAGAUAAUUAUAUCAGGGUCGGGAAUGACCGUAAGCAAAUCCUAGCAAAAUGGGGCCCCCUUUUCCUUACAUGGACUGAAAGGAUAGUGGCAAUUAAGAUGUGAAUACUCCCAAGAUUACAGUACGUCUUCCAAACCCUACCACUGUUUAUGCCACAGUCCUACUUCAAAAUUGUCCAAAGAGAUAUAACCAAACUUAUUUUGGCGGGAGGGAGACCCAGCAUAUCCAUGAAACUCCUGAGAACAUCAAUUAGGGCAGGUGGCCUUGCAGUCCCGGAUGUUCGCACCUACGACUACGCAUCCAUACUAGCAUCAGCAAUACCACACUUUGUAGAUCAAUCUCCCCCCAAAGAGUUAAAAUGCUAUGGCUGCCUAAACCCCUCAAACCCCCCUCUACAUAUGACUCCAGCCCAGGUAUCCUUGCUGAUACAAGUACAGUGGGACCUUGGUUUACAUAUUUAAUGCGUUCUCCGGGACGUUUCUUAUUGCGAAACAUUUGUAAACUGAAACGCGG